UAAUACUAGCGGUCCAAGUCGCAGCCAUUUUUAUUGGGUCUAAAACAUCCGUAGCUUGCUUGAUAAGUUUAUUGUGAAAUCUCAUCUCUCAAGGAUGAGGCGAGCAAUAAGUACUAUCAGGCUAGAGACUGGAAGACGUAGGAAGUACGAUCAAAGUAGUGGUAAAAUACGUUAAUCUUGAUCGGACUCACAAUAGCGAAGGCAUCCUACGAGGACAGUUCUGACAGUAAGGGAUGAAAGCUAGGGGCGCAAAACGGAUUAGAUACCCGUGUAGUCCUAGCCGUAAACACCGCACACUAAACAUCAGUACCUCCUCGAGAGGUAUUGGUGCUGAAGGGAAGCCGAAGAGUGUGCUACCUGGGAAGUAUAGUCGCAAGGCCG
Molecule: ribosomal RNA, 381 nt
Filed under: uncultured euryarchaeote
Lineage: Archaea; Methanobacteriati; Methanobacteriota
Description: bacterial SSU rRNA
Rfam family: Archaeal small subunit ribosomal RNA
Source: RNAcentral